AACCAUUCUCACCUGCGGCUAGACCUGCGGAGGGAUCAUUACCGAGUUUACAACUCCCAAACCCCUGUGAACAUACCUAUACGUUGCCUCGGCGGAUCAGCCCGCGCCCUGUAAAAAGGGACGGCCCGCCCGAGGACCCUAAACUCUGUUUUUAGUGGAACUUCUGAGUAAAACAAACAAAUAAAUCAAAACUUUCAACAACGGAUCU
This 208-nucleotide unclassified non-coding RNA is filed under the name soil metagenome. RNAcentral describes it as "partial contains 5.8S ribosomal RNA, internal transcribed spacer 2, and large subunit ribosomal RNA". The record is from RNAcentral.